RNAcentral lists this ribosomal RNA (292 nucleotides) under uncultured bacterium. RNAcentral's name for it is "partial 16S ribosomal RNA". It matches the Rfam family "Bacterial small subunit ribosomal RNA", at positions 505 to 796 of the family's 1533-position model. The record is from RNAcentral.
GUGCCAGCCGCCGCGGUAAUACGUAGGCAGCGAGCGUUGUUCGGAGUUACUGGGCGUAAAGGGUGUGUAGGCGGCCUAUUAAGUUUGGUGUGAAAUCUCCCGGCUCAACCGGGAGGGUGCGCCGAAAACUGGGAGGCUAGAGUGCGGGAUGGGAGAGUGGAAUUCCUGGUGUAGCGGUGAAAUGCGUAGAUAUCAGGAGGAACACCGGUGGUGCAGACGGCUCUCUGGACCGUAACUGACGCUGAGACACGAAAGCGUGGGUAGCAAACAGGAUUAGAUACCCUUGUAGUCC